CGGCAGACAGCAGCCCCGGCACAUUAGCAUCUGCAGCCUGUCUGGGCCCUCCCCUCUGGAGUCCCUGUGCACUGCGACGACGCGCUGGCUUCCCAAAGCCGCAGUGGAUUGUGUAACCACACUGUGAACGCCUAGAAGACAGCGUGGUUAGCUUCACUCCUGACAGCAUCUGCUAAAAGUCACUGGUGCCAGUUAAUAAGAGACCCACCAGGCAGGAGGGACCCUAAGACUCUGGGGGAAGGAGAGAGCGAAGCGCUGUCUGGACGACAUCACUGGAGACCUUUAGACCCGAAGAGAACAAGGUGUUGAAGGACGGCGAGGAGGUUGACUUCUCCCCACACCUGCACCUACUUUAGGGAUCUCAGCAGAACAGCAAAGAAAACAUCCUGCUGGUCGACCUUGGUUUUCCCUCCUCCCUCCUGAAUCUUCUAGCGGCACGGCACUUCCUCACAGGGAGUGAAAGGCAACAGUCAAAUUAGGCCCAGAUGACCUGCUUGCAACGAAAGUGCAACUCAAUCCUUCUGUCUUCAGUCUGCAGCUGAAGGCUGAGCAUUUCCUGGUGGCCCAGGGGUCUGCCAUCUCACACUGCUCUUAUGGGAGGAUCUCCUUCCUCCUUCACCCACUCUCUUCCCAGGGGAUGGGAAAGGAAUGAGAGAGGAGAUUGGCAGCCAUCGUUUGAGCCAUAUGACCUGGCCCUGGGCUGGACACCACUUGACCAAACUUGGGAUCAUCAAACGCUUUCUCUUUGGGCAUUUGGAUUCACAGACCCCAGUUUGUAUCUGUUGAACUAAGGAGAAGAAAAUUCACAAACUGGAGACCACACCGUGGGGCAGGCAAGUGGUCUUACUGCUGAGUGCUCACAAGGGAGAAGUAAAGCAGACACACAGAGAAGUUAGGCAAAGCAAGCAAUUGAUCCUGAGAGACAGCUCCGCGGUGCCUCGUUCCAGCCACAGCGAAGGUCCUCCUAGCCUGGGUUCCCAAACUACCCCCGAAUCCUUGGUAACAACUCCCCCAUUUCUGUUACUUAUGGCCUGAAGAGUCCUAACUCAGCCAGCCAGGAAUUGACAGAACACGGAAAUGGAGCAGCAACUCCCCACCUUCAAGUCACCAUCAAGGGGUUACCAAAGCCCUGCCCACCGCUUGCUGCUGGAGGCUUCUUCUUGCUGCCAUGGAAACCGAUUCUGACCCCUCACCCCAGCCCAUCAGGGUGCUGAAAAGGGCUGCAGAGUCCUGGCUUCCUAAGAGAUUCUGGAACACAGUGAAUCUAUUGAUAUUUCACCUCAUGGGGAAUCAGACUGCUUUCUAGGCUUUGCUGGAAAUCUAGUCACUUUCUGUGGGGAAGCCAUUCUGAGAUCCAAGCUAACUUUUGGCACAUAACCCUUUCAAAAUUUGCAGACUACUGUAUAUGUGAAUUUGGUUACUGGCAGUCUUUUUUUAAAAGGGUAAUUUAUAUCUUUGCAUAUAUGUUACAUAAAGUAACCAAAGAUUAAUAGCCUUAGCAGAUUGGAGAUACAUCAUUUGUUGACAAAUGGAUCAAAACCCCAGGCUCCAAGGACUGUCCAGAUCACUGAAAUUUUAAAAUGUAAAGCAUUAAACACAGCUUUUUCUUUCUUCUCCUUAACUAA
Long non-coding RNA from Orcinus orca (killer whale), 1625 nucleotides. RefSeq lists it as uncharacterized. The record is from RefSeq and is a predicted model, not a curated record. The transcript is spliced from 3 exons. NCBI's taxonomy places the organism in Eukaryota, Metazoa, Chordata, Mammalia, Artiodactyla, Delphinidae.